CGGGGCUCGGAGCUGGAGGGAAAGACCUAUCUAACCAAUGGAAACCGCUGCUGGGGGCCCGGGGGGGGGCGCAUCUGAACUCCGCCGCUCGCUGUCUCGCUCUGCCCUCUGCGCGCGGGGCACCUCGCCGCCCCCUCCCGGCGGGCGCGCUCUCCUGCGCUCGCUCGCUCUCCCGCGCCCCUGGAGAGAGUCCUCCUCAACAAGUUGGAGAGAGGCAGGCACGCAGGGGUUAAGCUCGGAAAGCCGCAAUUACCAAGAUCGUGACCCUCCCACACAGUACAGUAACUUAUAUACUUACCUGGAAGAACCUGCUUGGCCGCCGGGCAAACACCGUGGGGGGCGGGGAGGAGCGGGAGGGGAGCGGGCCCGGCUGGAGGGGCUCGGGCUUGCAGCCGUGCGGACGGGACCUGCGCGCUCCCGCGGCCUCGGGACCCAGAGGCCCGGCACAUCUCAUCCAGAGGCCUGGAGGCCUGCGUGAGAGGCAGCCACUGAUGGGGAGCAUCUGAAGAUGAGCUCUGGCGGUCCAGUUGAAAAUAAUGAGCUCUUGAAGGGAAUUCCGAACCUCGCAGUCUCCCAUCGACCAUGUCAGUAUGCUCUUCUUGUUUCCCUUGUGGCUGGCUCUUCUCUAAAAUGCCAAUGAAAACUCACCACUUUGGGUAUCAAAUGAUAGCAUUCAUAGAGCGAAGCAUACUUUGAAAGGAAAAACGUCAGAAGUUUUAUCUCCCGAAGACCCUUUGAGUGUUCUUUAAAAGGUGACAUUUUUUUUCAUCUGUAGAAAAGGUUGCGCAGCCACUAACGAGGCCACGUGGUUCGAAGUCGUUCCAGUCCCACAUCCUGGAGCCGUGUUAGUUGUUGCUCAUUGUUGCCGGGGCUCCAUCUGGAGAAGGCGUACUGGCUGUGCCUCCCCUGUCUGACUCCCCGGUGUUGCUGGCCCGGUCUGGGGUCCGGAGCAGUCUCCCACCUGCACCGCUUACCAGAACUCCCAGAUUCUUCUCUGUUGAAUGCAGCACGAUGGCGCCGAGGGACUGAAAACCUUCAUAAUUGAACUUGGAGAGAUGAAGUUCAAUAUUUUGAUUCAAAUGUAAAUGAAGAUGGACUAGAAGAAAAUGGUAUUGUUAAAAAUAUGUAAGUUUCAUAGAAUUCAGCUUGUUGUCCAGCUCCACAAAAUUCUGAGCUUCUGUGAAAUAAAUUCCUUAGUUAUGGAAUUUUCUUUCAUUGUAUUAAACUAUUCCUGACUAUUCAUGAUUUCAACACACAGAAAAUCUUAUCUGAAACUCAAUUUAUUGAAGUACUGAAAAGAAAGGAAAAUUAAAUGGAAACAUUUAACUACUAA
Sorex araneus (European shrew) is the source of this 1333-nucleotide long non-coding RNA. RefSeq lists it as uncharacterized. The transcript has 6 exons. The record is from RefSeq and is a predicted model, not a curated record. Lineage: Eukaryota; Metazoa; Chordata; Mammalia; Eulipotyphla; Soricidae.